Molecule: long non-coding RNA, 1982 nt
Organism: Leopardus geoffroyi (Geoffroy's cat)
Lineage: Eukaryota; Metazoa; Chordata; Mammalia; Carnivora; Felidae
Exons: 2
Source: RefSeq, a predicted model, not a curated record
GGUGCAUGGCUAGAAAGCUGGAGGUGAGACAAAAGCCCAGUUAAUCUGGCUCCAUAAUCUGUGCUCUUAACCACGAUGGCAUAUUGCUUCUAAUUAAGGGUUAAUAAUAGUAUUAGAUGUGGAUACUAGUAUUGUUUUUAUUUUUAUUACCUAUAUAGGUUUUUAUAAUAAAGUCACAUAUAAACCCAUCAGUCAAUACAAAAAAAAAAAAAAAAAAAACAAAUACAAAUAUAUCUAAAACAUACAUUCUUUGGAUCAGUAUGGGAGUAAAUUCAGCAAAUUCAUAUGGGUAGAUAAUCCUAUCUACAAAAACUAUGCUAGAUUUUCAUUAAAAGAUCCAUCCCAUCCUGGUGGAUUAGUUCUUAGUUUCCUAGAACUAACCCCCCAGGAAUAAGUUAGGAAUCCAAAUUUUAACAGACAGAACGUUUUAGAAAAAGAACACAACCAGGAUAAAAGCAUCCCAUGUUCCUCUCAACUACUCAUUAUUUGGAAAGAAAAAUUUCAAAUAUUUAGAAUGAUUAUUGGAAACAAAAAUUUUUAAGGAAAUAAUUACGCUUCCAUUAGCUGAACUUUGUUAACACUUAUAGGUAGAAGUCACUAGGCAGGCAAAGGAUGUAAAAUAACCUAAAACAACCUAGGAAUUCAUAUAUAAGUAAAACUUGCUUGUAAUAUUUUAAUGCUGAGGCCUGAAAUAAACGUCUACAUCUGUAAUGUUCCCUUACUUUCCUACUUACUAAUUUCUCAGCCUCUUAAAAAAUCUGGUAAACUGAAAUUGCACUCUCAUGUUUUCAUCAAACUGCCUUUCUCUAGAAUCUAUGCAUGACUCCAGGCAUGUGGUAGAGACCAUCAUUAGAAAGCCACCUACCAGCUCCCACCAAAAUGGCUAAAGCACAGGCACCUGGUACUUUCCAGGCACUUUCCAUGCCUUCGUUUCUCUGCAAAUGCUGCUUUCUUUCUCUCCUUAAAAUGUCACCUGAAUAAACACUUAUCCUUCAAAAUUCAGCUCAAAUGAAACCAUCUCUAAGUAGCAAAGAUACGUCUGAUGUCCUUACUCACUAAAUCCACUUAUCUAACACCUAGCACGAUACCAACCUAGCACACAGUGGGGGAACAGUACACCAGUGUCGAACGGAUUAACUACAUUUCAUUAUUUGUUUAGAUACCCUACAGGAAGUUUCAUAGUCAACUUUUUAUAACUCCAGAUACCCAGUACAGUACCAGAAACUCACUGAAGUUUUGCUAAAUAAAUGUGUCAUUUUCCAUUUUCAUGAUAGAAAUAAGUACUUUCCAUAUGCUCAAUAAGCAUUUGUUAUAGGGCAGGCACAGUGUUAGAGGAAUACAGAAAUUAAUAAGACAUAGAUCUCUAAGGAGUCCAAAAUCUUGUGGGGAAGGCAAACGAGAAAAUCAGUAAUUGUAGUGCAGAGUAAAAAGUAGUACUCUGAACAGAAAUGCACCUUUAAAAUACCUCUUAAAGGUAUUUUAAGAGCUCAAAGGAAGAGCACCGGAAAAGGGCACAUAACUCCUCCAUGCAUAGUACAAAAGCCCCACAGACUAAACUUGUAUAAUAAUGCAUAAAGUUCUUUUAAAAAGUUUCUACAGAGAUUGGCAGGAGGAAGAGCAGCACAAAAAUUACACUUUCCAGAGCAACAUCAGUUACACACUUUUUUCGUUUUACCCUCCAGUCCUCACAAAAAUCUGGCAUACAAACUUAAAAAAGGAAUUUUACAGGAUAUGUAUGAAACAAAAAUGUUGAGUCCUUGGCUCGGUUUACUGCAAACCAAUGAAAGAACUGUUUGUUAAAAUUUCAGCCAGCGAGACUGCAAAAAAAAAAAAAAAAAAGUUUCAAGACUCAAAAAUACAAAUAAUCAUGCCCUCAAGUAUUUGCCAUUUUAUGAAGGUGAAGGAUUUACAUCUGGCUUUAUGAAAAAAAAAAAAAAAAAGACUACUUAUGAUUAAAAUUGCUUUGAGGCUAACCCUACCAU